GACAGACCACUUCCAACAGUUUACUCACACAAAGGAGACUAACACAAGGACACGAUUAUCACAAAGAUAAUCAACAGAAAAUCUCACACAGAGAAGAAGAAAGAGUCACAAAGACGAAGCCCUUGAAGGUUCCAGAAGACACAGAGAAAAACAGAGAAUAAAAAAUGACGAUCCACAUGCCAAACAAAGCAAAGGGUCGUAUUUAUAGUAAAACCCAUCCACCGUUGAUUAAGCGGGUUAAUCCAACGGUCCAAGAGCGACUAAGAUACAUGGGCUGAAUAUUGGGCUCGGUUUAAGUAGGCCUUCUAGGUAUAUUAAAAAUGG
This 324-nucleotide long non-coding RNA is filed under the name Olea europaea (common olive). RNAcentral describes it as "long non-coding RNA (OEUR_LNC013010)". Lineage: Eukaryota; Viridiplantae; Streptophyta; Magnoliopsida; Lamiales; Oleaceae. The record is from RNAcentral.